RNAcentral lists this ribosomal RNA (220 nucleotides) under Taenia pisiformis. RNAcentral describes it as "partial large subunit ribosomal RNA". The record is from RNAcentral. Lineage: Eukaryota; Metazoa; Platyhelminthes; Cestoda; Cyclophyllidea; Taeniidae.
AGGAGCCCAGCGCCGAAGCCUGCGGCAGGUUUGCUGUUAGGCAAUGUGGUGUGUGGGUCGAUUGGCGGGACCGCCGCUCCACUCGAAGUCCAGCACUGAGUAUGGCAAUAAGUGAGUAUGGCCCAUAGAGGGUGAAAGGCCCGUAUCACAUCAUCGUCCUUGGGUCAUUGGGAGUGGAGGUGCAGGCGAGUGACGCGGUUCACCAGGUCAACCUGAGAGU